UAUGCCUGAGACCUGAUGGGCGCCCACAUGUGGGUGAUCCGGUGAUCCUAUGCUGCCUAGAAAAGCAUCGGCGCGAGGUUCAAACUGCCCGUACCCUAAACCGACACAGGUGGUCAGGUAGAGAAUACUAAGGCGAUCGAGAGAAUCAUGGUUAAGGAACUCGGCAAAAUGCCCCCGUAACUUCGGGAGAAGGCCCCAACCUUGAGCACCACUCGCUGGUGUGAGGGGAUCGGGGCCGCAGAGACCAGGGGGAAGCGACUGUUUAUCAAAAACACAGGUCCAUGCGAAGUCGUAAGAGAUGUAUAUGGACUGACUCCUGCCCGGUGCUGGAAGGUUAAGGGGACCCGUUAGCUUCGGCGAAGCGGAGAACUUAAGCCCCAGUAAACGGCGGUGGUAACUAUAACCAUCCUAAGGUAGCGAAAUUCCUUGUCGGGUAAGUUCCGACCUGCACGAAUGGAGUAACGACUUCCCCGCUG
RNAcentral lists this ribosomal RNA (476 nucleotides) under Micrococcus luteus. RNAcentral's name for it is "bacterial LSU rRNA". It matches the Rfam family "Bacterial large subunit ribosomal RNA", at positions 1551 to 2018 of the family's 2925-position model. The record is from RNAcentral. Lineage: Bacteria; Bacillati; Actinomycetota; Actinomycetes; Micrococcales; Micrococcaceae.